AGAGUUUGAUCCUGGCUCAGGACGAACGCUGGCGGCGUGCUUAACACAUGCAAGUCAAGGGGGCCCGCAAGGGCAACCGGCGAACGGGUGCGUAACACGUGAGCAAGCUUCCGAUUUGUGGGGGAUAGCCGGCCCAACGGCCGGGUAAUACCGCAUACGUUCACUGGACGGCAUCGUCUGGUGAGGAAACCUCCGGGGCAAAUCGAGGCGCUCGCGGCCUAUCAGCUAGUUGGUGAGGUAACGGCUCACCAAGGCGACGACGGGUAGCUGGUCUGAGAGGAUGGCCAGCCACAUUGGGACUGCGACACGGCCCAGACUCCUACGGGAGGCAGCAGUGGGGAAUAUUGCGCAAUGGACGAAAGUCUGACGCAGCGACGCCGCGUGUGGGAUGAAGCCUUUCGGGGCGUAAACCACUGUUGCCCGGGACGAACAUCCUCUUUCGAGAGGACUGACGGUACCGGGUGAGGAAGCACCGGCUAACUCUGUGCCAGCAGCCGCGGUAAUACAGAGGGUGCGAGCGUUGUCCGGAAUCACUGGGCGUAAAGGGCGCGUAGGUGGCUUGGUAAGCGUGUGGUGAAAGUCCGGGGCUCAACCCCGGAUCUGCCGUGCGAACUGCCGAGCUUGAGCAUUGUAGAGGCAGGUGGAAUUCCGGGUGUAGCGGUGGAAUGCGUAGAGAUCCGGAAGAACACCAGUGGCGAAGGCGGCCUGCUGGGCAAUUGCUGACACCGAGGCGCGACAGCGUGGGGAGCAAACAGGAUUAGAUACCCUGGUAGUCCUCGCCGUAAACGAUGGGUACUAGGUGUCUGGGGGAGCGACCCCCUGGGUGCCGGCGCUAACGCAUGAAGUACCCCGCCUGGGGAGUACGACCGCAAGGUUGAAACUCAAAGGAAUUGACGG
Molecule: ribosomal RNA, 897 nt
Filed under: uncultured Gemmatimonadota bacterium
Lineage: Bacteria; Pseudomonadati; Gemmatimonadota
Description: bacterial SSU rRNA
Rfam family: Bacterial small subunit ribosomal RNA
Source: RNAcentral